Molecule: ribosomal RNA, 451 nt
Filed under: uncultured bacterium
Lineage: Bacteria
Description: partial 16S ribosomal RNA
Rfam family: Bacterial small subunit ribosomal RNA
Source: RNAcentral
GAUGAACGCUGGCGGCGUGCCUAACACAUGCAAGUCGAGCGGCAGCGCGGGGUGCUUGCACCCUGUCGGCGAGCGGCGGACGGCUGAGUAACGCGUGGGAACGUGCCCCAAAGUGAGGAAUAACUGCCCGAAAGGGUAGCUAAUACCGCAUAUUAUCUUCGGAUCAAAGGAUUUAUCCGCUUUGGGAGCGGCUCGCGUCGGAUUAGGUAGUUGGUGAGGUAAUGGCUCACCAAGCCGACGAUCCGUAGCUGGUCUGAGAGGAUGACCAGCCAGACUGGAACUGAGACACGGUCCAGACUCCUACGGGAGGCAGCAGUGAGGAAUCUUCCACAAUGGGCGAAAGCCUGAUGGAGCAACGCCGCGUGCAGGACGAAGGCCUUCGGGUUGUAAACUGCUUUUAUAAGUGAGGAAUGUGACGGUAACUUAUGAAUAAGGAUCGGCUAACUACGUG